UCCUGGCUCAGGAUGAAACGCUGGCGGCAUGCCUAAUACAUGCAAGUCGAACGAGAGACCUUCGGGUCUCUAGUGGCGAACGGGUGAGUAACACGUAGGGAACCUGCCCGCGCACCGGGAAUACGCUCUGGAAACGGAGAACAAAUCCCGAUGUACAGGAAGGAGGCAUCUUCUUUCUGUGAAACAUCCUCUAGGGGGAUGGGGCGCGGAUGGACCUGCGGUGCAUUAGUUUGUUGGCGGGGUAAAGGCCCACCAAGACGAUGAUGCAUAGCCGGCCUGAGAGGGCGGACGGCCACAUUGGGACUGAGACACGGCCCAGACUCCUGCGGGAGCAGCAGUAGGGAAUUUUUCGCAAUGGGCCAAGCCUGAACGAGCGAUGCCGCGUGAGUGAAGAAGGCCUUCGGGUCGUAAAGCUCUGUUGCGGGGGAAAAAAGGCAGCAUCAGGAAAUGGGUGCUGACUGAUGGUGCCCCGCCAGAAAGUCACGGGCUAAC
Molecule: ribosomal RNA, 492 nt
Filed under: Clostridium sp. ARIAKE922
Lineage: Bacteria; Bacillati; Bacillota; Clostridia; Eubacteriales; Clostridiaceae
Description: bacterial SSU rRNA
Rfam family: Bacterial small subunit ribosomal RNA
Source: RNAcentral